AUUGAAUGCUAGCGGCAUGCCUAACACAUGCAAGUCGAACGGCAGCACAGCGUGUAGCCAUACAUGUGGGUGGCGAGUGGCGGACGGGUGAGUAAUACGUAGGAAUCUGCCUUGUAGUGGGGGAUAACCCGGGGAAACUCGGGCUACUACCGCAUAAUCUCUACGGAUCAAAGUGUGGGAUCUUCGUCCCUCACGCGAAAAGAUGAGACUACGCAUGAUUAGCUAGUUGGUAGGGUAAAGGCCUAACAAGGCAACAAUCCGUAGCUGGUCGGAGAGGAUGAUCAGCCACACUGGGACUGAGACACGGCCCAGACUCCGACGGGAGGCAGCAGUGGGGAAUAUUGGACAAUGGGGGGAACCCUGAUCCAGCAAUGCCGCGUGUGUGAAGAAGGCCUUCGGGUUGUAAAGCACUUUUAGUGGGGAAGAAAAAAUCAAGACUAAUAUUCUUGAGAAUUGACGUUACCCGCAGAAAAAGCACUGGCUAACUCUGUGCCAGCAGCCGCCGCCG
This 508-nucleotide ribosomal RNA is filed under the name uncultured bacterium. Its description in RNAcentral is "partial 16S ribosomal RNA". It matches the Rfam family "Bacterial small subunit ribosomal RNA", at positions 30 to 523 of the family's 1533-position model. The record is from RNAcentral.